This 1340-nucleotide long non-coding RNA is filed under the name Apteryx owenii (little spotted kiwi). RNAcentral describes it as "lncRNA (ENSAOWG00000017657.1)". The record is from RNAcentral. Lineage: Eukaryota; Metazoa; Chordata; Aves; Apterygiformes; Apterygidae.
GCGCCGGCCGGGCUGGGGCCUCGAGUGCGCAUGCGGGCGGCUCGCGCAGGCCCGCCAGUUGCAGCCGUUGCUCCAGCCCCUUCGCUGCUCUGCCACGUACGGGCGGUGGCGGCCGUUGCCGGGCUCGGGCGGGCGGCCUCCACCGGCGGGACCGCGGAGAAGCCAGAUAAAUUGUACCUGGAACUGUAGCAAGAUCAGGGCGAGAAGGGCACCAUCUCCAUGUCCUAUUUGUUUCAUAAAAUCUCUGGAUGAGAAGCGCGUACAUAAAAAACGUGUGGACUGCAUAAACGUCAAGCAGACCAUCACAUCGGCUUUCUAGCAGCAAAAGCUGAAUCUUGAGCUUCCUGUUUUCUGCCAUUGGUAGUGCAUGGCAGCUUCUCCUAACUCUGUCCUGAAGUGAGGUGGAAAAUCUGACCAAUAAUACAGCAUCAGUAAGAAAACCAAGGUAAUGAUAAACAUAUGUUUGUGGAAGGGAGGUGAAAGAAGACCUGUGGAUACUAGUUAAUUUUUUUAAUGCUUAAAAAUAUCAUUUAAAUGCUUACUGCAAAUAACUGUGUUUUUUACAAGCAACUUCUACUAAAACAAAGUGCUAAUUAGACAGAGUUGAUGUGCCUGCAGUCUAGACUACUAUGUUGCAUAACAUGAAUAAUGCAUUAACAAUAUUAUGAACUUCACUAUGCUUCAUCAGAGUGUCUCAGUGACAACCUGACUGUGUUAAUUACAGGUCCCUGUUCUCUGCAAUUGAAUUGAAUUUCUUUGUAUUCACCUACUUACUGUUAUUGUUGUCUGAUAAGGAAAAUGAGUUUUGCUCAAUAGUUGCUUGUCUCUUUUUUUUUUUUUUUGGAAGGUCAUUGGGUCAAACACAUGGAUGAAGCAUUUGCUUUAUAUCAAGUUAAUUACAAGACAACAGAAAUUGAGUUGCAAUCUAGAGAUAGUAUCCUAGUAUGUCCUUCUAAUACAUAAUGUCAUUGUUAAAACAGUAGAGCUAAAUAUACAGAGAUGCAUCAAGGUAUGAUGUGUUAAAGGCCUUAGCUGAGUAACUAGUUUCUCUGGUAGGAGAGAAGUCAUUUUCAAUAGAAUAUUUUAAAAAUUGACCAAAGCAAAAUUCAUUUUUUUUUAUAGCGCUCCAUGUUAUAAUGUUCUUAAAGGUAAGGGACAAAUAUCUGCAUAUCUCUAUUAUGAUUUUUUUUUUCUCCAAAAGAGAAAGGACAGCAUGCUUGCCUGCAUACCUUUUUGGGAAUUCCAGUUUUGAUAUGUAAGGCUUCCUACUUCUAAGCUCUCCAACAUUUGUACUUCAGAUAUUAAGAUUCCUGCCUCUUUAAUUUCUCUUCAUUCCAGUU